RNAcentral lists this RNase P RNA (400 nucleotides) under Rhodobacterales bacterium. Its description in RNAcentral is "RNase P RNA component class A". It matches the Rfam family "Bacterial RNase P class A". Rfam says of the family: Ribonuclease P (RNase P) is a ubiquitous endoribonuclease, found in archaea, bacteria and eukarya as well as chloroplasts and mitochondria. Its best characterised activity is the generation of mature 5'-ends of tRNAs by cleaving the 5'-leader elements of precursor-tRNAs. The record is from RNAcentral. Lineage: Bacteria; Pseudomonadati; Pseudomonadota; Alphaproteobacteria; Rhodobacterales.
GCGGAGGGCUGGAUGGUCGCGGGGUGCCUGGCAUCCCGAGGAAAGUCCGGACUCCACAAAGCAACGGUGCCGGGUAACGCCCGGCUGGGGUAACCCAAGGGAAAGCGCCACAGAGAACAGAUUUCAGGCGCGUUCGCGCGCGUGUAAAGGUGAAAAGGUGGGGUAAGAGCCCACCGCGGUUCUGGCAACAGAAACGGCACGGCAAGCCCCACCGGGAGCAAUGCCAAAUAGGGAUCUUGUGCGGGGUUUGGUCGGGCAACCGAGACCACCCGCGGGGCGCUUUGCCCUGAAGAUCCGGGUUGGCAGCUAGAGGUCGUCGCGUAAGCGGCGGUUUAGAUGAAUGAUCAUCCAGCGGGGGCAACCCUGCGGACAGAAUCCGGCUUAUAGGCCCUCCGCGCAU